This 358-nucleotide ribosomal RNA is filed under the name Lactobacillus delbrueckii subsp. bulgaricus. Its description in RNAcentral is "bacterial SSU rRNA". It matches the Rfam family "Bacterial small subunit ribosomal RNA", at positions 670 to 1026 of the family's 1533-position model. Lineage: Bacteria; Bacillati; Bacillota; Bacilli; Lactobacillales; Lactobacillaceae. The record is from RNAcentral.
CAUGUGUAGCGGUGGAAUGCGUAGAUAUAUGGAAGAACACCAGUGGCGAAGGCGGCUCUCUGGUCUGCAACUGACGCUGAGGCUCGAAAGCAUGGGUAGCGAACAGGAUUAGAUACCCUGGUAGUCCAUGCCGUAAACGAUGAGCGCUAGGUGUUGGGGACUUUCCGGUCCUCAGUGCCGCAGCAAACGCAUUAAGCGCUCCGCCUGGGGAGUACGACCGCAAGGUUGAAACUCAAAGGAAUUGACGGGGGCCCGCACAAGCGGUGGAGCAUGUGGUUUAAUUCGAAGCAACGCGAAGAACCUUACCAGGUCUUGACAUCCUGCGCUACACCUAGAGAUAGGUGGUUCCCUUCGGGGA